Pimephales promelas (fathead minnow) is the source of this 497-nucleotide long non-coding RNA. RefSeq lists it as uncharacterized. The record is from RefSeq and is a predicted model, not a curated record. Lineage: Eukaryota; Metazoa; Chordata; Actinopteri; Cypriniformes; Leuciscidae.
UGCUCGGAAGUUGUUGUUAUUGAAGAUCUUUCCUCCAUUGCGUUUUCCACAGGAUGAGGCUUUAAAGGGGGGCUUCCCUUUCUGAGUUCAGGUGGUACACAAGGAUCAAUUUAGAAGGCUUUGAGUGGUGAUCAAACUAAAAUAGCUUGACGGGUCAAUGGACUGUCCUACCUUGUGUGUUAGAUGGAAAAAAUAACAUGAUUUUGGAAUGGAGGUCACUGAAACUGAAACGAAGACUUGUGAAAAAGUUUCAAGAAAUAAUCUACCCCCAAAAUGAAAAUGUUGUCAUCAUCAAUUCAUCUUCAUGUUGCUCUAAACCUGUACGUCUUCUUCGGUGGAACAUAAAAGGGCUUGGAUCUUGGCGUGGCAGAAGGUUGCAGUAAUACCAUCCUCCUGCCCACAGUCUGUGCUUCAUACUCACUGACGCACUGUCUGCCUUAUUGCGGCUGAGUAAUGUCAGGUGCUGAUAGUGAGCGUCUACUCCUCCAGGUCUGUGC